Molecule: ribosomal RNA, 253 nt
Filed under: uncultured bacterium
Lineage: Bacteria
Description: partial 16S ribosomal RNA
Rfam family: Bacterial small subunit ribosomal RNA
Source: RNAcentral
UACGUAGGGAGCAAGCGUUGUCCGGAAUCAUUGGGCGUAAAGCGCGCGUAGGUGGCCCCAUAAGUCCGCUGUGAAAGUCAAAGGCUCAACCUUUGAAAGCCGGUGGAUACUGUGGGACUAGAGUACGGAAGAGGCGAGUGGAAUUCCUGGUGUAGCGGUGGAAUGCGCAGAUAUCAGGAAGAACACCCGUGGCGAAGGCGGCUCUCUGGGACGGUACUGACGCUGAGACGCGAAAGCGUGGGGAGCGAACAGG